Long non-coding RNA from Lolium perenne, 1633 nucleotides. RefSeq lists it as uncharacterized. The record is from RefSeq and is a predicted model, not a curated record. Lineage: Eukaryota; Viridiplantae; Streptophyta; Magnoliopsida; Poales; Poaceae.
AACAAGAUUGCAAAGGAAGAAAGAGGUACCCACAGGAGGCAUGCUUUUUUGGGCGGUUUUGUAGAGGGCAACUGAGCCUCUCAACGAAACAAGAUAGCAAAGGUGAGCUGUAGCACAGCAGUUCGCCGGACCAGUGCAAUGGCGAACCCGUGGAUGACGAGCUCGGCCACACAGGCAGCAGCACGACGGGGACAGCAAAAUGGAAAAGGAAGGGUGGAUUGGCUUGAUACGUCUGCCGUGGAAAUUUGUGCUUUCCCUGGUGAAUUUAGUACUCCCCUGGUUGAAAAUUUGCAGGAGUAAAAUGAUUGGGGUGAAGGCGGCCUCUGUGUUGAAUAAUCAAGCCUGCUGCCAGUCAAGCACGAAUUUAGAAUGCAUUCUUCUUAUUCAACUUUUAGAUGGUCAAAGUAAGCCCCACAAAAGGAAAAGAUAGCCCAACUAACCGAAUAUAUUAAGAUUAUACUUCCACUUCAUAAACGCAUAUAGAAAUUUAUCCGUUAGUUGCCGAGUUUGUAGUCCAAACUAAGUGAUGCAUGAAUAAAGAAAUCCUCAUUUUUUUGCAGCACUAGAUUAAUCUUGAAAAAAAGUUGGACUCCAAACAAAAUUGUCAAAUUUAAUAAUGUUUAACUUGUCCAAAAGUUAAAUGUACACUUAUUUGUUGAUGGAGAGAGUAAAUGUUAGUUCGGGCAAUAUAUUCACGUUCCAAAAUGUAUGAAAUACCGAAAACAUAACUUAAUGAUAUCUGACAGUAGAAAUAGUGAAGCAAAAAAAAGAAAAGUGUGAAUCGUGCAUGAAACAAAAACAUUUCUCUCACCAUCAUGGCAUGCUCUCACUUUGAACAAAUAUAUUAACAAUCACUGAGACUUUGAACGAAUAUAUUGACAAAUAACAAUCGACUGAGACCUGACUAGCUAAAAUAACUAUCGACGGAGACCAGUCGUAGCUCCUAACAGCAACUUUGACAGAACUCUAGUAUGUGUGAAUGGUUCAAACUUGGGAGGUCGUCGAGGUGGUAUACUGUAUGUAUGUAAGAAAGUCAGCGGCAACGUGCAUUCCCAGUCAACAAAGGUUACUUUCUGGAGCCUCAGUCAACAAAGCUUUAUAUCUCAAGAAAAUAAAACGUAGUUUACCGUGGGGCAUAUAAGGUGCAGGUGCUGAAGCAUUGUACUCACCGGUACCAGUAGGCCAAUUGUACCCGUCGCCACUCCGGAAAGAUGCUACCCAACUGUCACCUCUUGCUUGCCCGUCUUCUUGCCAUCCUCACAUUGCUCCUCUUCGUCAGCGCCACCCUCGGUGGGGCAGCAAGGCUUCCACCUCCUGGCUCUCCACGUCGCUCUUGCUCCGGUCAACAAGACCCAAUCGGCAAAUGCUCACCUUUGCCCCCUCAAACCUGCAAAGGUUGUGGUCGGCGGUAAGCGCUCCAAACCGUUGAACUCUCAGGAUGGCAAGGCUCAUUCCGUGAAGCAUAUGUCAACGACGGUGGAGGUUUUACAAGUAUCAAAUGGGAUGUACCAGUGCUGAUUAACGUAUGAGUAAAUAUAUGUGUGCCACAAUCAUUUCAUUAACUAGAAUGUAAGGACUAUAACUGUAGUUUAAUAAGUCACAAGAAUUUAUCAAUAAACUUGCAUUGUAAAUA